This 1428-nucleotide ribosomal RNA is filed under the name uncultured organism. RNAcentral describes it as "16S ribosomal RNA". It matches the Rfam family "Bacterial small subunit ribosomal RNA". The record is from RNAcentral.
CAGGCUUAACACAUGCAAGUCGAGGGGCAUCAGGAAGAAAGCUUGCUUUCUUUGCUGGCGACCGGCGCACGGGUGAGUAACACGUAUCCAACCUGCCCUUUACUCGGGGAUAGCCUUUCGAAAGAAAGAUUAAUACCCGAUGGCAUAAUGAUUCCGCAUGGUUUCAUUAUUAAAGGAUUCCGGUAAAGGAUGGGGAUGCGUUCCAUUAGGUUGUUGGUGAGGUAACGGCUCACCAAGCCUUCGAUGGAUAGGGGUUCUGAGAGGAAGGUCCCCCACAUUGGAACUGAGACACGGUCCAAACUCCUACGGGAGGCAGCAGUGAGGAAUAUUGGUCAAUGGGCGCUAGCCUGAACCAGCCAAGUAGCGUGAAGGAUGAAGGCUCUAUGGGUCGUAAACUUCUUUUAUAUAAGAAUAAAGUGCAGUAUGUAUACUGUUUUGUAUGUAUUAUAUGAAUAAGGAUCGGCUAACUCCGUGCCAGCAGCCGCGGCAAUACGGAGGAUCCGAGCGUUAUCCGGAUUUAUUGGGUUUAAAGGGAGCGUAGGUGGACUGGUAAGUCAGUUGUGAAAGUUUGCGGCUCAACCGUAAAAUUGCAGUUGAUACUGUCAGUCUUGAGUACAGUAGAGGUGGGCGGAAUUCGUGGUGUAGCGGUGAAAUGCUUAGAUAUCACGAAGAACUCCGAUUGCGAAGGCAGCUCACUGGACUGCAACUGACACUGAUGCUCGAAAGUGUGGGUAUCAAACAGGAUUAGAUACCCUGGUAGUCCACACAGUAAACGAUGAAUACUCGCUGUUUGCGAUAUACAGUAAGCGGCCAAGCGAAAGCAUUAAGUAUUCCACCUGGGGAGUAAGCCGGCAACGGUGAAACUCAAAGGAAUUGACGGGGGCCCGCACAAGCGGAGGAACAUGUGGUUUAAUUCGAUGAUACGCGAGGAACCUUACCCGGGCUUAAAUUGCAGUGGAAUGAUGUGGAAACAUGUCAGUGAGCAAUCACCGCUGUGAAGGUGCUGCAUGGUUGUCGUCAGCUCGUGCCGUGAGGUGUCGGCUUAAGUGCCAUAACGAGCGCAACCCUUAUCUUUAGUUACUAACAGGUUAUGCUGAGGACUCUAGAGAGACUGCCGUCGUAAGAUGUGAGGAAGGUGGGGAUGACGUCAAAUCAGCACGGCCCUUACGUCCGGGGCUACACACGUGUUACAAUGGGGGGUACAGAAGGCAGCUAGCGGGUGACCGUAUGCUAAUCCCAAAAGCCUCUCUCAGUUCGGAUCGAAGUCUGCAACCCGACUUCGUGAAGCUGGAUUCGCUAGUAAUCGCGCAUCAGCCACGGCGCGGUGAAUACGUUCCCGGGCCUUGUACACACCGCCCGUCAAGCCAUGGGAGCCGGGGGUACCUGAAGUACGUAACCGCAAGGAUCGUCCUAGGGUAAAACUGGUGA